ACACAGCAUGGUCCACCAGCCAGCUGUUGGCUUAUUGCCACAGCACCAUCUCAUCGGGAGAAGGCGUGUCCCUCGCCCGGAUUGCUCUGUGCGCCCCUUUGUCCUCUGAUGGUGGUAGUGGUGUCGUGGUGGUGCUCAGCCGGCGACACUUAUGGCGGCUGCACACGUCAGGCAGCGCACUGGGUCGGGUGGAACCCGCGCGCAACUCCCGCCCUGUUACUACGAGGGCUACCUGGAGAAGCGAGGACCUAAAGAAAAGGCACCCAAGCGUUUGUGGACAUGUUUGUGUGGGAAUGCAUUGUAUUUCUUUAAUAAUUCCAAGGACACUCACUAUGUAGAGAAACUGGAGCUCAGUGGGUUCGUGUCCUUAAGGGAUGACUGCAGCCGGGACAGAAAUUUGGAAGCUGCCAGACUGAUUCUGCGCAUGAAAGAUGGAGAAACCAAAAUAACAGCACCCAACCUGGAAUCAAGGGAGCUGUGGAAAGGUUUCCUCUACUCUGUCAUAGAUCUGAAUGUACCAUCAAGCCUCACAUUGCUGCCGGGCCAGCUGCAAAUGCUGAAGGAGGUAGUGGAUAAAGAAAGGUCCCGGCGGAGAAGUCGCACUCCCACAAGAGCACCCCCUUCGCCUCUCUCUGUUCCUUUAGUGGGGGAGAUUCCCGCGUGCUUUCGCCCGGUGUCGCGAACUGAGGCCGAAGUCCUCUUGGACAGACACCCAGAUUGUGGCAACAUGCUACUGCGUCCCGGAAGAGAUGGCAGCUCAUUAGCCGUUACCACGCGGCAGGACCUCAAUGGCUCAGUCUUCAGACAUUACCGAGUAACCCAGAGGGACCAGGGUGGCUAUGUGAUUGAUGUGGAGAAUCCAAUUCCCUGUGCAACCCUUCACGAUGUCAUCGAUGCCCUGGUGGAAAAGACAGCUGGCACUCUGCAACCUUUUCUCCUAGAAGAGCCUUAUGAGGAGAAUAUCACUUACGUUUCUGCCAAUGAUGAGAAUGGAGAAAGGAUUCUCCACACCGCCCCCACCAGCCCCCUGCCAAAGGCUCCUGCACUGCCCCCAAAGCAAGUCGGUGCAGAUCGUUGGCCCAGCAGCCCCCCGCCGCGCUCCCCUGCACCGGACCGCCGCAUUCUGACCUCAUCAGUGCCUGCCUCGCCCACCAACCCCAUGAGACGACUCAUUUUAUCACCUUCCCCCCUCGCACAGUGCGGUAUGGUCUUUCCUUUCAAGCUCGGGUCCUCUAUCAGAGGCCUUGGAGCUCAAGGAUUCUGCGCAGGAUCUUAGCUGUCCCUACGACUGCGCUCUUCCCGAACGGAGAUGUCAGACGUUGUUCCAGCUCUCAACGAUGAACUGAAAAUGAAGCUGGAGAAGAGACGAGCCAGUCAGGAGUAAAAAAAAAAAACUUGAAGGGAGCUACACGGAUGCCAAACCCCCUUGUCAUCGCAGCUACGUAUUUAUCCUGUGCCUUGUAGGUGGAAAAACAAAAGGCUGCACACCGCAGCCACCGUCUCAUCAUAGUCAUAGGUGUUGAUGUCAAACUUUUGUUAAGCUCAAGACUGGUGUGGACACACUUGAUACUUGAGCUGCACAAAGUACUGUUUACAAACCCCUAAGCACAUUUUUUUCAAACUAACACACUAACUAAAAAUGUGACUUAUCAGAAUCACCGUGCGAGCCUGGUGCUGUUUUUCUGAGCCAGCUGUUUUUGUGCUCAACUACUAGAGCUGCUAAGAGACAUUUUCAACACACAUUGAUAAGAACGGUAAGUCCAAAAACCUGUGAGCUGAGGAACUUUAUUGUCGUGGUGGGGCCUAUUUUACAACUUCAACUUUGUGUUUCCUUCUUUCUCUGAUACUGUGUGUGAGCAUGUGUGUAUGCAAGCGUAUUACUGUGAUUCAUUAUCAAUUAAACAUGUCUCUUGACAAAGAAAAAAAAC
RNA transcript from Corythoichthys intestinalis (scribbled pipefish), 1928 nucleotides. It is a transcript of the gene named signal transducing adaptor family member 2a, with no coding region annotated. The record is from RefSeq and is a predicted model, not a curated record. NCBI's taxonomy places the organism in Eukaryota, Metazoa, Chordata, Actinopteri, Syngnathiformes, Syngnathidae. The transcript is spliced from 12 exons.